CCUACGGGAGGCAGCAGUGGGGAAUAUUGGUCAAUGGGCGCAAGCCUGACCCAGCAACGCCGCGUGAAGGAAGAACGCUUUCGGGUUGUAAACUUCUUUUAUCAGGGAGGAAACAAGUGACGGUACCUGCUGAAUAAGCCACGUCUAACUACGUGCCAGCAGCCGCGGUAAUACGUAGGUGGCAAGCGUUAUCCGGAUUUACUGGGUGUAAAGGGAGUGUAGGCGGGAGUGUAAGUCAGAUGUGAAAACUAUGGGCUCAACCCAUAUACUGCAUUUGAAACUGUCCUUCUUGAGUGCUGGGGAGGUAAGCGGAAUUCCGGGUGUAGCGGUGAAAUGCGUAGAUAUAAGGAGGAACACCAGUGGCGAAGGCGGAUUGCUGGACAGCAACUGACGCUGAGGCGCGAAAGCGUGGGGAGCAAACAGGAUUAGAUACCCUAGUAGUC
RNAcentral lists this ribosomal RNA (443 nucleotides) under uncultured bacterium. RNAcentral describes it as "partial 16S ribosomal RNA". It matches the Rfam family "Bacterial small subunit ribosomal RNA", at positions 338 to 795 of the family's 1533-position model. The record is from RNAcentral.